CUCGCCUGGCCUCUCCUCUCGCGAGGGACUUGGGUCUGUCUUGGCUACAGCUGCCCAUGUAGAAUUCGGUUUAGCUGAACCAACCAUU
This is a long non-coding RNA of Phyllostomus discolor (pale spear-nosed bat), 88 nucleotides long. RefSeq lists it as uncharacterized. Lineage: Eukaryota; Metazoa; Chordata; Mammalia; Chiroptera; Phyllostomidae. The transcript is spliced from 3 exons. The record is from RefSeq and is a predicted model, not a curated record.